UGGGUAGGCGGUUGGGCUAGUCUGGUGUGAAAUCUCCCGGCUUAACUGGGAGGGUGCGCCGGAAACUGCCUGGCUAGAGUGUGGGAGAGGAAAGCGGAAUUCCUGGUGUAGCGGUGAAAUGCGUAGAUAUCAGGAGGAACACCUGCGGUGUAGACGGCUUUCUGGACCACUACUGACGCUGAACCACGAAAGCGUGGGGAGCAAACAGGAUUAGAUACCCUGGUAGUCCACGCCCUAAACGAUGCGGACUUGGUGUGCGCCCUUCAUUGGGUGCGUGCCGUAGCUAACGCGUUAAGUCCGCCGCCUGGGGAGUACGGUCGCAAGGCUGAA
This 330-nucleotide ribosomal RNA is filed under the name uncultured bacterium. Its description in RNAcentral is "bacterial SSU rRNA". It matches the Rfam family "Bacterial small subunit ribosomal RNA", at positions 568 to 898 of the family's 1533-position model. The record is from RNAcentral.